GAUGAGAACGUAGUAAAAUGCGAUAAGUAAUGUGAAUUGCAGAAUUCAGUGAAUCAUCGAAUCUUUGAACGCACAUUGCGCCCGCCAGUAUUCUGGCGGGCAUGCCUGUUCGAGCGUCAUUUCAACCAUCAAGCCCCAGGCUUGUGUUGGGGACCUGCGGCUGCCGCAGGCCCUGAAAACCAGUGGCGGGCUCGCUAGUCACACCGAGCGUAGUAGCAUACACAUCGCUCAGGGCGUGCUGCGGGUUCCGGCCGUUAAACCCCUUUUCUACCCAAGGUUGACCUCGGAUCAGGUAGGAAGACCCGCUGAACUUAAGCAUAUCAAUAAGCGGAGGA
Molecule: unclassified non-coding RNA, 335 nt
Filed under: soil metagenome
Description: partial contains 5.8S ribosomal RNA, internal transcribed spacer 2, and large subunit ribosomal RNA
Rfam family: 5.8S ribosomal RNA (bases 5-119)
Source: RNAcentral